Molecule: ribosomal RNA, 159 nt
Filed under: Klebsiella pneumoniae subsp. pneumoniae KPNIH7
Lineage: Bacteria; Pseudomonadati; Pseudomonadota; Gammaproteobacteria; Enterobacterales; Enterobacteriaceae
Description: partial 23S ribosomal RNA
Rfam family: Bacterial large subunit ribosomal RNA
Source: RNAcentral
AAAGCAUCUAAGCACGAAACUUGCCCCGAGAUGAGUUCUCCCUGAGACUUUAAGUCUCCUGAAGGAACGUUAAAGACGAUGACGUUGAUAGGCCGGGUGUGUAAGCGCAGCGAUGCGUUGAGCUAACCGGUACUAAUGAACCGUGAGGCUUAACCUUAC